UAUUGCAGAACUUCAGUUUAUCCAAAUUUUUGCUGAAAAGUCGAUUGACGUUUAUAGCGCCACUACAUUUGUUGAUUCUUUCAUCUAUACUCUAGUUUUUUCUGUCACAGUUAUCUAUAUGUCCUUAGCGUAAAUUGACACAAUUAUGAACCAUAUAAAUCUAUGAUUUUUGUGCAUCUAGAAUCUUGUCCUCUUGCGCUCUUGCCAUUUUGUAUUAGAAACGACGCUUCGUCGCCAUUUUUAAAUUUUGUAAUUUUCUUGCUUUUCGAUUGACGAUAAAUAAUAGUUGAAGAUUGAAGAGUUCAUUUUGAUGCUAUUGUAAAACGCGGUCUGCUACGGUGUUGUAGCUGUUAACUUUUUAUCGUGAAGGAGUUGUAGUUAAUUAAGAAACAUUAAAACUGGACGGCAUUAAAGUAGUAAUUAUAUCAGUCCUCAUUCACUCCAGAGCAUAGGUGUACAUAUGGUGCUGUAGCAAAGAUGAAGUGCCUUUUUUUAAUUGAAAAUGGAGGCAGUGUGCCAUUGCUAAAGGGAAGAUUUAUUACAAUAAACAAAUGAACUGACUGCCAAACAAAUGAGAUGGAGUUAUAAUUAAUUUUGAUGUUACUGAAACCACCAGUGCUUUUGAUGUCUUCACAUAAUGCAGUUAAUUUUGAGCAUGUGAGAGAGAAGUAACUGUAAAUUAAUUUGGAAACUGCUGAAACAACAGAUUUGUCUGCCGUGGUAGUCCUCGUGGAUUUGGCUACAGUUGAUUAAGAUUGCCCAACGAAUGAGAGAAUUUCAAUUCUGUUUGGUCCUACUGAAACAACUAAUGUCUACAUGGGUGUGGUCUUUCAUGAACUAUAUUCUUGAUUUGCUGUUUUUGUCUUCGCCUUCCAACAUUAUGCAGUCAAUUUUCAACCGACGAGUGAGAGCAACUGGAGAUUUAUUCCAAUUCCACUGAAACAACAAAUUUUCUGCUAUGGUAUUUCUCCUGAAGUUG
RNAcentral lists this long non-coding RNA (979 nucleotides) under Agrilus planipennis (emerald ash borer). RNAcentral's name for it is "uncharacterized LOC108742583, transcript variant X2". Lineage: Eukaryota; Metazoa; Arthropoda; Insecta; Coleoptera; Buprestidae. The record is from RNAcentral.